GUGGAUUAGAUACCCUAGUAGUCCACGCUGUAAACGAUGAUCACUCGUUGUUGGCGAUACACUGUCAGCGACUGAGCGAAAGCAAUAAGUGAUCCACCUGGGGAGUACGGCGGCAACGCUGAAACUCAAAGGAAUUGACGGGGGCCCGCACAAGCGGAGGAACAUGUGGUUUAAUUCGAUGAUACGCGAGGAACCUUACCUGGGCUUGAAAGGGGAUCGACUUCCCGGGAAACCGGGAUUCUCUUCGGAGCGAUCUCCUAGGUGCUGCAUGGUUGUCGUCAGCU
RNAcentral lists this ribosomal RNA (284 nucleotides) under uncultured bacterium. RNAcentral describes it as "partial 16S ribosomal RNA". It matches the Rfam family "Bacterial small subunit ribosomal RNA", at positions 773 to 1060 of the family's 1533-position model. The record is from RNAcentral.